CCUACGGGGGGCAGCAGUGAGGAAUAUUGGUCAAUGGACGAGAGUCUGAACCAGCCAAGUCGCGUGAAGGAUGACUGCCCUAUGGGUUGUAAACUUCUUUUAUAUGGGAAUAAAACGUUCCACGUGUGGGAUUUUGUAUGUACCAUAUGAAUAAGGAUCGGCUAACUCCGUGCCAGCAGCCGCGGUAAUACGGAGGAUCCGAGCGUUAUCCGGAUUUAUUGGGUUUAAAGGGAGCGUAGGUGGAUUGUUAAGUUAGUUGUGAAAGUUUGCGGCGCAACCGUAAAAGUGCAGUUGAAACUGGCAGUCUUGAGUACAGUAGAGGUGGGCGGAAUUCGUGGUGUAGCGGUGAAAUGCUGAGAUAUCACGAAGAACUCCGAUUGCGAAGGCAGUUCACUGGACUGCAACUGACACUGAGGCUCGAAAGUGUGGGUAUCAAACAGGAUUAGAUACCCCAGUAGUC
This 460-nucleotide ribosomal RNA is filed under the name uncultured bacterium. RNAcentral describes it as "partial 16S ribosomal RNA". It matches the Rfam family "Bacterial small subunit ribosomal RNA", at positions 338 to 795 of the family's 1533-position model. The record is from RNAcentral.